Molecule: long non-coding RNA, 768 nt
Filed under: Trifolium pratense (red clover)
Lineage: Eukaryota; Viridiplantae; Streptophyta; Magnoliopsida; Fabales; Fabaceae
Description: long non-coding RNA (TPRA_LNC006980)
Source: RNAcentral
AAACAUACAAAAUUCUGGAGUAACUCUCUCCUUCCCAAGGUAAGGAUUUUCGACAACUUGGUUAUGUUGACCUGUUUCAUUGGCCCACAAAAAUUGUGACGUUUCUUAUUGAGCACACCAUGAUAUUAAAUUUAUAGUGAGGAUAUGAUGUUGAUCUAUAGUAAAUUCUUUUUGUUUCCAUCUUUAGCGAUUCUGAGGGCAUAUAGUUCAUGAUUUGUUAUUUAUUCUUAGGUGUUGCAGGAGAGGAUGUGAUUUUGAUUUAAGUCUUGAUAUGCUUUUCUCAGAAUCAAACUUCUCUCGACUCUUCUUUUACUCAUCAAGAUUUUGUUUUGUAUAAUUUUUUAAUAUAAUUCUUUGUUUGGUAAUCGAGAGACGCAUUUAUCCGUUUUGCAGCGGGCUAAGAGCUUUCGAUGUCUAGAAUGCGUUCAUAAAAUAGACAAGAGCACAGAGCCAAUAGUUUUAAUUUGGUGAUCUCUAAUAAAUUCUUUUUGUUUCAAUCUUUAUCGAUUCUGAGAGCAUGAAUUUCAUGAUUUGUUAUUUAUUCUUAGGUGUUGCAGGAGAGGAUAUGAUUUUGAUUUACGUCUGGAUAUGCUCUCAGAAUUUCACACAAUCAAACUUCUCUUGACUCUUCUUUUACUCAUCAAGAUUUUUUGUAUAAUUUUUUGAUAUAAUUCUUUGUUUGAUAAUCGAGAGAUGUGUUUAUCCGUUUUGCAGUGGGCUAUGAAGUUUCGAUGGAAUGCCUUGAUAAAAUGGACAAGAACAUGGAGC